RNAcentral lists this long non-coding RNA (2208 nucleotides) under Heterocephalus glaber (naked mole-rat). RNAcentral's name for it is "lncRNA (ENSHGLG00100044223.1)". The record is from RNAcentral. Lineage: Eukaryota; Metazoa; Chordata; Mammalia; Rodentia; Bathyergidae.
CCCCCGCUGCCCACCGGCCCCGCCUUCCGAUCGCCCCCUGGAGGGCCGAGCCACAGGGGCGGGUGUCCCCUUUUGUUCCCACUUGGGGCCUGGAGGGCCUCGCUGUGGCCGCAGAUGCCCCAUUUGGCCGCCCAGGGCACACCCCUCCAUCCCAGCCCUUGGGGCUGCUGGUGGGGGUUGGGGCCUAGGAAAGCCGAGUGGGCCUCCCCACCCGCCAGCCACCCCCACUCCGGGAUCCCCGAGCCAGCCCCGACCCUGCGGUAGCGCCUCAGAUCUCGGCCUUACUGGGGGAGGGGAUGCUGACGGGGCGGGCCUUUGGAAAUGCAGAUGAGUCGCCUCCCGCCACUCCUCGCCUGGGCUGAACUCUUCGUGGCUCACCCCCACCCCAAUCCAUUCCACCCUGAGGGCCGCCUUGGCAGCUGUGCAAGGGGGGUGGCGUUGGCGAGUCUGUCUAGGAUACCGACAGGUUCUUGGCUGGAGAAGGGGCAACAACCGGUUACCCGCGGAGUGGACAACCCUUCCUUCCCUUGGACAGCAGGAGCAGGCCUAGUUUGACAAUCCUCCCGUCAAAGCCGACCUCGCGUAAUUCGCGCCCUCCUCGUGUCCAAGAAGCUCCGCAGCUGGAGAUGGCGUGGCCCUUGAUCUCUACGCCCUGUCCCCACGACCCUGGGGGUGGAGAUGGCUGCCGCUGCUCGGACCAAGGAGAGAGGCGUCCAAACGUUGUGGAGUCACCUACCCUGUGCGUUCUCCAGCUGCCUGUGACCCCCCAGCAACCCCUGCCCGCGGGACUGGAGCAGAGAACUGGGUGUAACCUUGUGAGCCGUUCCAAAGUGUUGAAAAGAUAGGAUCCUGCCUUGUUGCCCGAACUCCUGGCUUCCACUUCUGCGUCAGCCCCAGUACCUGUGACCGCAGGUGGCGAGCGGCUGGGUGCGGGCAGUGCUUUGUGCUGUGGAAAGUCACUGCCCUCCAGUGCUGGUGGCCGCUGGGGCUUGCAGAGACCUGCGGCCAGGUGCCAGGUACCUUGGCAGAUAAGUGGCCUGGUCGCCAUUUCCUCCCUCGGGGCCCUUGGGUGUCCAGGCUCCUUCCUGGGCCUGGGGUUUUUAUCUCUCACCAGCCGGGUGUUAAAUAAUUGAUUUAUGGUUUCCAACGCCCCGGAAGUGGGCGUCAUCAGCCCCCACCUGGCUUGUGGUAGCUGGACUUUGCCCAUUUCUCUCCAGGCUCAGAGUCCCCGUUGGCCUCCCUGUGGCAGGGUAAUCACACAUGAGCUCGCCCCACAAAAGCUACCUGGUAUCUCCCCGACCUUCCUGGGGCCCAGCAGAUCUUGUGGCAGGAACCAGCUCGCUGUCUCCAGGACCCCAUUGUGAGCAAGAGGGUGGUGAGGGUCCCGGGACACCUUGCCACUUGGAAGCAGCCUGGGGAGGGCAGGUGUGUCUGGCUCCUGUGCCAGCCACGAGGCCUCCAAGGAAGCACUGAGCAGCUGGCUGGGCUCCUGGGUAUUUUUAGCUACAGAUUCAGCCUCACCAUCACCAUGAGAGCUGGGUCCAUAUCAAACACUGAGGCCAGAGGGGACUGGGACUCUGCCAGACUCCUGGCCGGGCAGGCAGGGUGGGUGGGGCAGUUGCAGCUGUUCUGCCUGCUCCCAGGCAGGGCUGUGCUUUUGCUUGUUCUCUGCAGCUUGUUGUCACAGAUAGUAGAGCACCUAGCCCCAUUUCUCAGGUGGACAAAAUAGACUGAGGUCUGGGGGCUUUUUUUCCUUUGAAGUUGACAGUCUUGCUAUGUAGUUCAGGCUGGCCUUGAACCAUGUACCCCAGGUUGGCCUGGAACUCCAUGGUAGUCCUCCUGUCUCAGCCUCCUGAGUGCUGGGUUUACAGGCAUGUGCCACCUGGCAGUCCAAGGAUGUUGAGGAAAGGCAGGCACCCACCCACAGACCAUUGUGGUGAACCAGGCUUCUUGAGCCUUCUCAGGAAGUUCUGCCCAGGCCCCUUGCCGGUUGGACAGCCUCCCUCCCUCCCUGAGCUUCAGGUCCUGGGUGCAGGGCUCGAGGCUAGCUGCAAAGGUAAGUGGUUCUCACUUAAUCCCAAACCCACGCUGAGUGCCCCUUUGCCGGGCUGUGGUCCUACACUGUUCGGAUCUCCAUCAGACUGGUGCCCCUAACACUUCGAGCUCUGGGCAGGCAGGAACGCAGUUGCUUCUCAAUAAACAUGUUGC